UACGAAGGGGGCUAGCGUUGUUCGGAAUUACUGGGCGUAAAGCGCACGUAGGCGGAUACUUAAGUUAGGGGUGAAAUCCCAGGGCUCAACCCUGGAACUGCCUUUAAUACUGGGUAGCUUGAGUAUGAGAGAGGUGAGUGGAAUCCCCAGUGUAGAGGUGAAAUUCGUAGAUAUCUGAAGGAACAUCAGUGGCGAAAGCGGCCUCCUGGACCAAUACUGACGCUCAAGUGCGAAAGCGUGGGGAGCAAACAGG
RNAcentral lists this ribosomal RNA (253 nucleotides) under uncultured bacterium. Its description in RNAcentral is "partial 16S ribosomal RNA". It matches the Rfam family "Bacterial small subunit ribosomal RNA", at positions 524 to 776 of the family's 1533-position model. The record is from RNAcentral.